AUGAACGCUGGCGGCGUGCCUCACACCUGCAAGUCGAACGGAGUCCAGCCUUUAAGACCUUCGGGUCAAAGAGGGGAAGACUGAGUGGCGGACGGGUGAGUAACACGUGGGCAACCUGGCUCAUAGAGGGGGAUAACAGAGAGAAAUUUCUGCUAAUACCGCAUAAGCACACACUGCCGCAUGGCAGAGGGUGAAAAGAGAAUCGCUAUGAGAUGGACCCGCGUCUGAUUAGCCAGUUGGCAGGGUAAGAGCCUACCAAAGCGACGAUCAGUAGCCGAUCUGAGAGGAUGAACGGCCACAUUGGGACUGAGACACGGCCCAAACUCCUACGGGAGGCAGCAGUGGGGGAUAUUGCACAAUGGGGGGAACCCUGAUGCAGCGACGCCGCGUGAGUGAAGAAGUAUUUCGGUAUGUAAAGCUCUAUCAGCAGGGAAGAUAAUGACAGUACCUGAAUAAGAAGCCCCGGCUAACUACGUG
This 477-nucleotide ribosomal RNA is filed under the name uncultured bacterium. RNAcentral describes it as "partial 16S ribosomal RNA". It matches the Rfam family "Bacterial small subunit ribosomal RNA", at positions 30 to 507 of the family's 1533-position model. The record is from RNAcentral.